This is a long non-coding RNA of Helianthus annuus (common sunflower), 2720 nucleotides long. RefSeq lists it as uncharacterized. The transcript is spliced from 4 exons. The record is from RefSeq and is a predicted model, not a curated record. Lineage: Eukaryota; Viridiplantae; Streptophyta; Magnoliopsida; Asterales; Asteraceae.
UUCCAUUGUUCCCUUACGCAUCUCUUCUUUUCCUCCAUCUUUCUUAACCUAAUUAAUAUCGAUACCGUUUCACAAUCAUCUCUUCAACUUCAUAUGGAAACCACAAUCAAUCAUCAAUCAGUUGAUUCUACGAAACGCGAAUUGGCUUCACCGUUUCCUUUCUUGAUUAUAAAACCCUAGAUGUAAAUCCAGAAUCUUCAUUCACGGAUAUAACAAGGAGGCUAUACUCUCCGACGUUCAUAUUGUGGAAGAUCUUCUUCAAUCGGUAAAAUAGAUAUUUCUAAAUGGCGAAAUAUGGAUGCCAGAUCACUGGGAAUAACCUAAGUAAUUGUGCCUUCUUCCUAUACGCUUCUAAAGAUUCUCGAAAGCGGAGGCUACAUUUUGUUAUUACAACCAAGAAAACUGAACUGAACACCCUGAUGACUAUUCCCAUUGUGUUUGUGACGGCCAUAGUAAGCAAGAUGAUGAGCUCAGGAAAAGGCUACUAGACCAACUUACUGCGCAGGGUGAUUUUGAAGAAGCAUUUGUUAAAUGUUUAGUUCAAAAAGUGAGAUUUUUUAAAUAAAGGUUUGGAAAGUAUUUUUUAACCCGAACCUAAUUUACUGGUUACUCAAUCUGCCGUUUCGCCACCUCCACCUUUUUUAACAACAGUAACUCUACAAGGACAAACCCAAAUUAUCGCCGACCGGGCUUGUGAUAUUCAGUGUGAAGGAGAUCUGGUGUUUUAUUUGGAACACAUGGUCCUGAAAGCAUCGAAGUUGUUAAGGAGUUGGCUUAUGAGAUUCUAAAGCAAUUUUUUGUUGCAAAAUGGCGCUCAAAGUGAUCCAGAUUCUACACGGUGAGUCUGAAUUUAUGGCGCUUGAUUCGAUCUCGGUUAUUAGCAUGUGUUUUUUUGUUGUACUUCAAUUUUACUUAUCAAUCUUACCAUGAUGGAUGAGAGGGUAAAUAGGUAGGGGUCCAUAUGACAGAAUGAUAUCAACUACCCUCACUUUGCUCAUAUACGUACUGUACAUACACUUAAAAGGAGAUUUAUUACAUUUAUACGCAUCCAAUAAUGUAUUUAGGUUGUUAUUUGUGUUAAUGAAGUGGUACCCAUGUAAGUGAUGUGUGAUAAAUGCAAGACACUUAUAGAUGUUUCUAAACUGCUAUAUUUUAGUUAUAUGUGUGUUAUUUGAGAUCAGUGAUUGAAAUUUUGAGGUGUUUUUAUCACUGGAAACUGGUUUUUCAGUUUAUUUGAUGAACAUAACUGGACAGUUGCAGGUGACAAUACGUUGCUAAUAUUCAUUUUUAAAAGAGCAGAGACCGGAUAACAAAGAAUGGGGAUAAAAUGACAAUUGUGGAGGACCCGAAUUCAUGGGUUGCGUCUAAUUUGUCAACUAUUUUUCCACCGAAUUUCUAUUUUUGCAUCUUAUAAAAAGAAAAAUUACCGUUUAGGUGAGAUUCAAUAUGCGCAAGGUAACUAAAGGAAAUGUAACGAUAAAGUCGGGUGGAUCUUGGAAGGCAACCUCGAUGACUUUAUUGUUUGGGUGCUAUUGCGAGUGGUUCUUCAGAUCUAUUUAUUAAAGUUAUUCCCUUUCUCCUCUCACUGACAUUGUAUUUUUUUGUCAGCCACCUCUUAUUCAUCCAUCUGAUAACCAAUUAAGCUUGGUUGAUUUUGAUGCGUUUAAAGUUGUUCAAAAAAGAACUGGUUGCUUCAGACUUAUGGGUACGACAAUGGUUCAGGUUAUGGUAUGCUGUUUAUGGCCCAUGAUAAUUUCCGAUGGCUGCUGGCUAAGCAUGUUUGGGGGUUCAGCCAGCGGAACUAUGUGCUUCGUUCUAUCUGGGCCAUGGGUAGCUUCGUCAUUAAGGGUCGGGGUUUAAACGACCAAGUUCCAGAUAUUUUGUUGGCUUACAUGUUAAAGCAUUGCUGUUAUACUGAUUAAGAGGCCCUCCAAAGACUGCACAUCUGUUGGUUUAUAGUGUUGGGGUCCGGGUGUGGCAUGUUGACAGGUUUCAUAAGGCAGAAGUUAAAGUAUAUCUGCAGGGGUAAAACUGUAAAAACGGCAGAAGGUGUCUAGAAGACCUGCAGACUCAUAUGGUCAGGCUGUAAUGCGGUCUGUCUUUUUAUUCAGGUUCUCUCAUUAUGCGAUACUGGUGUCCGUAUGUCUGCUCUGAGUUUGGAUCCCAUUAUAUGGCUUUGGUAUUGUUGUAUUACGCCUGAUGGUUCUGUGUUGGGUUUCCGGGGUUAUAUGAUCUGGAUGGGGUAUUCUCAGAUGAGUUGGUCGCUGUAGUACCGGGCCUCUAAUCAGUCAGUUCAGAAUUCUUUCGGGGGUACAAGAGGGGUAUACAAAAGGCUUAAUAGUUACUGGUGGACUAUUCUGUUUUCGAAGGCCAGUGCUGGGUUAUUAAGCAACGAGUGAUGGCCCAAAUUAUGGCCAAUUGCAACUCCUUGAUGGCCCAGCUUUGGGUUGCUGGUUUACACAUCUCGAAGGCCCAAAUAGGGUAUAUGUUGUAUUGGUGGGCCUGGCUGGUUUUCAGGCCUUAUGUUCCUAUGGUUUUCCCUAAGCAGCUGAUUUAUGGAUCCACAAUAGGGCGGUGUGACGUCUCUGUUAUAUGGCAUAAAAGUUGCUAAACCGUUCAUGAUUUUUGAACUUAUUAAUGGCAGUGUAUAUUAACACAAUCACAUAUUUGUAUGCUUUUUUAAACAUGAUUUUGAAUAUAAACUUAUUUACUUUAUCCCA